This 547-nucleotide ribosomal RNA is filed under the name Olea europaea subsp. europaea. RNAcentral's name for it is "Bacterial large subunit ribosomal RNA". It matches the Rfam family "Bacterial large subunit ribosomal RNA", at positions 2090 to 2636 of the family's 2925-position model. Lineage: Eukaryota; Viridiplantae; Streptophyta; Magnoliopsida; Lamiales; Oleaceae. The record is from Rfam by way of RNAcentral.
ACUAUGAAGUUUCACUAUUCCCUGGGAUUGGGUUCGGGCCUUUCCUACAUAGCUUAGGUAGAAGGCGAAUAAAGGACUCCUUCCAGGGGCUUGAGACAUCAAUGAGAUGCCACUCUAGAAGAGAUAGAAUUCUAACCUUGCGUUAAGACUGACGGGCCAUAGGACAGUCUCAGGUAGAUAGUUUCUAUGGGACAUAGGCCUCCCAAAAGGUAACGAAGCCGUGUAAAAGUUUCUUGAGGCUGGAUGGAGAUUGGCCUUUCAAUGCAAAGGUAGAAGGGAGUUUAACUGUAAGACUCAACCAUCGAGCAAGGACAAAGUUGGCUUUAGUGAUCUGACAAUUUCGAGUGAAAGGGCCAUCACUCAACGGAUAAAAGUUACUUUAGGGAUAAUAGGUUGAUCUUUCUUAAGAGCUCACACCGACAGAAAGUUUGGCACCUUGAUGUCGGCUCUUCGCCAUUUGGGGUUGUAGUACAUUCCAAGGGUUGGGUUGUUCGCAUAUUAAAGCAGUCCAUAAGCUAGAUUCAGAACGUCAUGAGAUAGUUCGGUC